Erigeron canadensis is the source of this 2010-nucleotide long non-coding RNA. RefSeq lists it as uncharacterized. NCBI's taxonomy places the organism in Eukaryota, Viridiplantae, Streptophyta, Magnoliopsida, Asterales, Asteraceae. The transcript is spliced from 4 exons. The record is from RefSeq and is a predicted model, not a curated record.
AACUCAAAGGCGAUGCACUCAUUACUCAUUAAACAAUGACAAUCAAAACUAAACCUACAUGCCAAUCAUUAUUAUACAAUAACAAUUCAAAAGUGGGGUUCUACAGUGUCCGGUCGGUAGGUAAAUAAUCGGGUUUUAGAGGGCCGGGUCGGUCAGAAAAUGCCUCAAACGACUUUCCAGAGCCUUCUCUCUACUCCGUUUCCAUUCUACAUCUUCUCUCCAUCCCACUAUGCUACUAUCUCAUCUCCAUAACCGAUCGAUUACCCGCUUCUCCAUCAUCAAUCUUAAAGUUUGGUCGCUUACUUCUUCAACAGUCAGCCACUCCGUUGCCGGCCGCUCCAUCAACAGAUUCUUCCCAGAGCUUCAUUAAGGAUUUAAUUGUAGCUGUUGAGUGUUUUUGCUUAUAAAAUUAAGGUCUUGGCUUCAACUUCCUAAUCGGUUACAACUUAACCGAAGGCUGGGCAGAGAUGCAAUUUGACAACUUGGAUGGGAACUUUGAUGAAUGUCAUCGAAAGCAAAGGACGACUACGACCAUAGGUAUCUGUCACAGACAACGUCGGUGGCUAAAGUAAACCUUAGAGCUCUCAUUUAAUACAUGAUUUGUUAAACCUUAGGCCAAUUUGGUUACAAAAUGGGCAAUUGGUCAAGGUCAUUUUGUAAAGCUAUAGUUUUGAUUGAAAAGCUACAUUUUGUAACCCAAGUCUAAUCCUGUUUGAAAUAUAUAUAAAAAAAAAACAUAAUAUACUCAUUUAUAAGCAAAUAGGUUCCUUUCACUGAUUGUUGAUGUUAAGAGUAUAGAAUUGAACUUGCUAUGUUGCAUUUAGUUUGAGGCCAGUGGUCCUGCUUAUGUAUGUGGUUAUUGAUAGAAGGGACCUACGGUUGUGUUCAACCAUUCAAUGUAUUAUCACCUAAUUCAUAUAUUGUCCAUGAGAUUUCUUUACAAGAUGAACAUUCCGCUGAGAUUAGCGACCGUAAGCCAACCACAAUAGUGUUAAAGACGAAAACUUAUACAAUGAAGUUGAAUCAAUCAUUGGACCCAAUUAAUUUGCCGUUAAAAUCUUCCUUGGCUUUUCACUUUCGUGAGGUCAUUACCAAAUGUGCUUGCAAAUGCUUUCUGUUUAUUCAAGUGAGUUCUUUCUUUCAUCGCUGGCAAAUUCAUGUGAUUACUUAGUUUCUUGCAAACUAAUUUUGCACCUACAAAGGGCAAUAAGUGGACCUUUUGACUAUCGAUUAUUGGCGGCUGAUAGUUCACAUAACACUUAUGGAUUCCAAGAAUAAAAGGUCAGAGAAAGUUGCCCAACCAAACAAAAUUUUCAUUGAAACUUCUUAGAAUAGGGGUUUAGAAGGUUCGUUUUCUUUCAAUAUAAAGUUCUUAUCUAAACCUGCCAUGAGCAGAUUUUGUUUUGGUUCCAUUAAUCAGUCAUGGAUGGACUGCAAGAUAUUAAGUACAUUUAUGAGAUAAGAGUUGUAAGAAAGAAGUGCAAAGCAAAAGGGAAGACAAGAUUAGAUAUGAAAACAAAACACAAAAAUUAUGGAGGAAGGUCAUUUGGUCGAUCCAUUGUUGUUCCCGUUCUUAGUCCUCUAUUCUUGUUAGGCUCUCUCAAUCGCGCCCUUGGAAGCAAAUCACGCCAUAGAUUUCAGGUGAGCUUAAUAGAAAGGAAGUUUGUUUGGAAAACGCUAUAAUAGGUUUACUGCGUUCGGGGUUAGCUAUUCUAUUAUGGAUACACAAGCAAGAACUAUGAUCAGUACAUGAUUGGGUUUCUAUGAAUGGGGUAAGGGUUGUUUUCUCUUGGCAGUGGAACAAUGGGUUCUCUUUGGAACUUACUGAUCUGCCAGAUUGUUAUGGUUCAGAAACGUAUUAAAUUUGAAGUAUUAAAAAGUAUAACUUUUUGAUAUAGAGUUAUGUAUGUUAUGCCCUUAGGAAUUUUCUAUGAACACUGCCACAUUUAAGUUUGUCAUAUUUGUAAAGCUUUGAUGUUUAAAAGCAAUUAAAAUACUAAAUUACUAUUA